This 253-nucleotide ribosomal RNA is filed under the name uncultured bacterium. RNAcentral's name for it is "partial 16S ribosomal RNA". It matches the Rfam family "Bacterial small subunit ribosomal RNA", at positions 524 to 776 of the family's 1533-position model. The record is from RNAcentral.
GACGGAGGGUGCAAGCGUUGCUCGGAAUUACUGGGCGUAAAGGGCGCGUAGGCGGUCCGCUAAGUUCGGUGUGAAAGCCCCCGGCUCAACUGGGGAAGGGCGCCGGAUACUGGCGGACUAGAGUACCGGAGAGGAGGGUGGAAUUCCUGGUGUAGCGGUGAAAUGCGUAGAUAUCAGGAGGAACACCGGUGGCGAAGGCGGCCCUCUGGACGAGUACUGACGCUGAGGCGCGAAAGCGUGGGGAUCAAACAGG